UGGGGAAUAUUGCACAAUGGGCGCAAGCCUGAUGCAGCCAUGCCGCGUGUGUGAAGAAGGCCUUCGGGUUGUAAAGCACUUUCAGCGAGGAGGAAGGUGGUGGACUUAAUACGUUCAUCAAUUGACGUUACUCGCAGAAGAAGCACCGGCUAACUCCGUGCCAGCAGCCGCGGUAAUACGGAGGGUGCAAGCGUUAAUCGGAAUUACUGGGCGUAAAGCGCACGCAGGCGGUUUGUUAAGUCAGAUGUGAAAUCCCCGGGCUCAACCUGGGAACUGCAUUUGAAACUGGCAAGCUAGAGUCUCGUAGAGGGGGGUAGAAUUCCAGGUGUAGCGGUGAAAUGCGUAGAGAUCUGGAGGAAUACCGGUGGCGAAGGCGGCCCCCCUGGACGAAGACUGACGCUCAGGUGCGAAAGCGUGGGGCAGCAAACAGGAUUAGAUACCCCUGGUAGUCCACGCUGUAAACGAUGUCGAUUUGGAGGUUGUGCCCUUGAGGCGUGGCUUCCGGAGCUAACG
RNAcentral lists this ribosomal RNA (513 nucleotides) under uncultured bacterium. RNAcentral's name for it is "partial 16S ribosomal RNA". It matches the Rfam family "Bacterial small subunit ribosomal RNA", at positions 355 to 857 of the family's 1533-position model. The record is from RNAcentral.